Dromiciops gliroides (monito del monte) is the source of this 128-nucleotide small nuclear RNA. Lineage: Eukaryota; Metazoa; Chordata; Mammalia; Microbiotheria; Microbiotheriidae. The record is from RefSeq and is a predicted model, not a curated record.
GUUUUGUAUGAAAGGAGAGAAGGUUAGCACUCCCCUUGAUGAGGAUGGAAGAGGUCUUAGUGGCCUUUACAACACAUAUAUGUUUAAGGCAUUGCCUUCUACUCUGUUACAUCUAGCCAAAAAAAUGA